AGAGUUUGAUCAUGGCUCAGAACGAACGCUGGCGGCAGGCUUAACACAUGCAAGUCGAACGCCCCGCAAGGGGAGUGGCAGACGGGUGAGUAACACGUGGGAACCUUCCCUAUAGUACGGAAUAGCCCAGGGAAACUUGGAGUAAUACCGUAUACGCCCGAAAGGGGAAAGAAUUUCGCUAUAGGAUGGGCCCGCGUAGGAUUAGCUAGUUGGUGAGGUAAUGGCUCACCAAGGCGACGAUCCUUAGCUGGUUUGAGAGAACGACCAGCCACACUGGGACUGAGACACGGCCCAGACUCCUACGGGAGGCAGCAGUGGGGAAUAUUGGACAAUGGGCGCAAGCCUGAUCCAGCCAUGCCGCGUGAGUGAUGAAGGCCUUAGGGUUGUAAAGCUCUUUUGCCGGGGACGAUAAUGACGGUACCCGGAGAAUAAGUCCCGGCUAACUUCGUGCCAGCAGCCGCGGUAAUACGAAGGGGACUAGCGUUGUUCGGAAUCGCUGGGCGUAAAGCGCACGUAGGCGGAUUUGUAAGUCAGGGGUGAAAUCCCGGGGCUCAACCUCGGAACUGCCUUUGAUACUGCGAAUCUUGAGUCCGAUAGAGGUGGGUGGAAUUCCCAGUGUAGAGGUGAAAUUCGUAGAUAUUAGGAAGAACACCGGUGGCGAAGCGGCCCNNCUGGAUCGGUACUGACGCUGAGGUCGAAAGGUGGGGAGCAAACAGGAUUAGAUACCCUAGUAGUCC
RNAcentral lists this ribosomal RNA (737 nucleotides) under uncultured bacterium. RNAcentral describes it as "bacterial SSU rRNA". It matches the Rfam family "Bacterial small subunit ribosomal RNA", at positions 8 to 796 of the family's 1533-position model. The record is from RNAcentral.